Long non-coding RNA from Melanaphis sacchari, 624 nucleotides. RefSeq lists it as uncharacterized. The record is from RefSeq and is a predicted model, not a curated record. The transcript is spliced from 4 exons. Lineage: Eukaryota; Metazoa; Arthropoda; Insecta; Hemiptera; Aphididae.
UAUCGGUACAAUAAAAAUAUAUUUCUAAACAUUUAACUAAGGAAAUAAUCAUCGUCAUUUUUUCAUUAAAAUUGUUAUUAAAUAUAAAUUGAGGAGUCACCAACAGGCAACAGCGGUUUCUCAAGCUCGAGGCGCCCCUUGAUUUUACCAAGCUGUGUGGCGCCCGGGGGCAAAUGACCCCUUUGCCGCCCCCCCUUAACACGGCCCUGGUUACAGCGGAGUGUGCGGAGCGGCGGACGUGCGACCCGAGUGGAUAGCGGCACAAGACUGAUAUGGUUUAAUAGAAGACGAUAAACUAUGUGAAAUGAAAUACCAUUAUUCCCUUAUUCUGUUAAAGAUUAUUGUAGUCUAGAAAAAGCUAUUUCGGACAAAAAACUUCCUUAUAUGAAAAUUAAAAAUAAUUUACCAACUUUGAAAGAAAAAAGUCAUUAUUUUUACCAGAUCCAAGGCCAAUUACAUGUGACUGAACGUAACAUUUGUUAUUUCUUUAUAUACACUCCAAAAUGGAAUCAAGCCUAAAGUUAUUUUACGAAGAGUGCUUGUCAAGAGAGCUAAUUGACCCUCAGUUCAUUAAACGUAUGUUGAAAAAUGAUAUAAUUGAAUCUCCACAUAUCAUACAAAAUA